GUGCCACAGCCGCGGUAAUACGGAGGAUGCGAGCGUUAUCCGGAUUUAUUGGGUUUAAAGGGUGCGUAGGCUGAUAAGUAAGUCAGUGGUGAAAUUUUCCGGCUUAACCGGGAGGCUGCCGUUGAUACUGUUUAUCUUGAGUUUAGUUGAUGUGGGCGGAAUGUGUCAUGUAGCGGUGAAAUGCAUAGAGAUGACACAGAACACCGAUAGCGAAGGCAGCUCACAAAAUUAAAACUGACGCUGAGGCACGAAAGCGUGGGGAUCAACCAGGAUUAGAUACCCUGGUAGUCCACGCUGUAAACGAUGAUCACUAGCUGUAGGCGAUACACUGUCUGUGGCUAAGCGNAAAGCGAUAAGUGAUCCACCUGGGGAGUACGUCCGCAAGGAUGAAACUCAAAGGAAUUGACNGGGGGCCCGCACAAGCGGAGGAGCAUGUGGUUUAAUUCGAUGAUACGCGAGGAACCUUACCUGGGCUUGAACGUAUGGUGCAUUAUGGUGAAAGCCAUAUUUCUAGCAAUAGACUUCAUACGAGGUGCUGCAUGGCUGUCGUCAGCUCGUGCCGUGAGGUGUUAGGUUAAGUCCUGCAACGAGCGCAACCCCUGUUUUUAGUUGCCAGCACGUAAUGGUGGGGACUCUAAAGAGACUGCCUGCGCAAGCAGAGAGGAAGGUGGGGAUGACGUCAAGUCAGCACGGCCCUUACGUCCAGGGCUACACACGUGCUACAAUGGCCGGUACAGAGGGCAGCGACCUGGUGACAGGUAGCAAAUCUCCNAAAGCCGGUCUCAGUUCGGAUCGGAGUCUGCAACUCGACUCCGUGAAGCUGGAUUCGCUAGUAAUCGCAGAUCAGCAAUGCUGCGGUGAAUACGUUCCCGGGCCUUGUACACACCGCCCGUCAAGCCAUGGGAGUUAGGGGUGCCUGAAGUCGAUGACCGUAAAAGGAGUCGCCUAGGGUAAACCUGAUGACUGGGGCUAAGUCGUAACAAGGUAACC
Molecule: ribosomal RNA, 990 nt
Filed under: uncultured bacterium
Lineage: Bacteria
Description: bacterial SSU rRNA
Rfam family: Bacterial small subunit ribosomal RNA
Source: RNAcentral